GCGUACACACAUCGCUCUUGCACACACAGGAUCUGCGGGGUAUUCGCCUCUUCGCCCCGCGCCACACCACCCAGCUGAGCAUCGCUUUCAGGCUACCCUGCGGGGGCGCAGGUACGAGGCGAUGGGGGGAGGAGAGAAACCUGGAACAGCCUUUGAAGCUUGGAUCAGCCAAUCACCUUGCUGUCUACGAAAAGGCCUUUAUGAAGAAAUCCAUCUUUAGCUGGAGGCCCCUGUGACUAGAAAGAUUUCUCCUAUGCCCAUCUAACCCUGCUGCUGCAGUGUGACCUUCUCCUACCUAGAUUUCUUCUCCUUGAGAACAGGCAACCUUAACUAAAACCAUUGAGACUUCUUCCCCAGGUUGGAUGGGCUCCAGGCCAGAUCUCCUAGACACCUGGAUGGCAGCUUAGCAUAAAGAGCCAGCUGCCUUCUCGUAGAGCCAAAACAUCAGUGUGUGGUCCAGACCGUUGGCAAGUAGACCUGGGCAUCCUGAAUCUACAGCUCGGACCGCAUCUCUGCAUCUUGCCCAAGGGGAGUCUAUGAAGCAGUUGCCUUUCUUAAUUAAAAGGGAAACGAAGAGAUGAGCCUGGAGGCUCGCCACUCACAUUCGCCUGGACACUGCUGGACAAUGGAGCAUGUCCCCACCCACAGGUGACCCCAUCCUCAGCUCGGGCUGAGAGACCAUACAACACACUGGGGGCAGGGUAGUGUUCAUGCCUGGGUCUUGCUUCCAACCAAGUGGCUUUCCUGAUAGAAUUGGGGUGGGGGGAGGGGAGCGAAGCACAGUUCACACGGCAGCCUGUUUAUUGAUUGACUAUUGGUUGAUUGGUUUUUUUCAAGACAGUCUCUGGGAAGCCCUGGAUAUCCUGGAACUCACUCUGUAGACCAGGCUGGCCUUGAACUCAAAAGGUCUGCCUGCCUCUGCCUCCCGAGUUCUGGAAUUAGAGGUGUGUUCCACCACUACCUGGUUAAGUACUUUUUAGAGCCCUAAAGUCUCUCAGGAUUCUCAGCCCUUCUACAAAACCCUUACUACAAAUGUGGAUCCCAGAAGAUUUCAGGUACUGAUAGAGCUCAUUGCAAUAAAAACCUGAACCUGU
Molecule: long non-coding RNA, 1094 nt
Filed under: Mus musculus (house mouse)
Lineage: Eukaryota; Metazoa; Chordata; Mammalia; Rodentia; Muridae
Description: RIKEN cDNA 9430021M05 gene
Source: RNAcentral